CCUACGGGAGGCAGCAGUGGGGAAUAUUGGGCAAUGGGCGCAAGCCUGACCCAGCAACGCCGCGUGAAGGAAGAAGGCUUUCGGGUUGUAAACUUCUUUUCUCAGGGACGAAGCAAGUGACGGUACUUGAGGAAUAAGCCACGGCUAACUACGUGCCAGCAGCCGCGGUAAUACGUAGGUGGCAAGCGUUAUCCGGAUUUACUGGGUGUAAAGGGUGUGUAGGCGGGACUGCAAGUCAGAUGUGAAAACCACGGGCUCAACAUGUGGCGUGCAUUUGAUACUGUAGUUCUUGAGUACUGGAGAGGCAGACGGAAUUCGUGGUGUAGCGGUGAAAUGCGUAGAUAUUAGGAAGAACACCAGUGGCGAAGGCAGUCUGCUGGACAGCAACUGACGCUGAGGCGCGAAAGCGUGGGGAGCAAACAGGAUUAGAUACCCUUGUAGUC
RNAcentral lists this ribosomal RNA (443 nucleotides) under uncultured bacterium. RNAcentral describes it as "partial 16S ribosomal RNA". It matches the Rfam family "Bacterial small subunit ribosomal RNA", at positions 338 to 795 of the family's 1533-position model. The record is from RNAcentral.